Molecule: ribosomal RNA, 400 nt
Filed under: uncultured bacterium
Lineage: Bacteria
Description: bacterial SSU rRNA
Rfam family: Bacterial small subunit ribosomal RNA
Source: RNAcentral
GAAUAUUGGACAAUGGGCGCAAGCCUGAUCCAGCCAUGCCGCGUGAGUGAUGAGGGCCUUAGGGUUGUAAAGCUCUUUCGGCGGGGAAGAUAAUGACGGUACCCGCAGAAGAAGCCCCGGCCAACUUCGUGCCAGCCGCCGCGGUAAUACGAAGGGGGCUAGCGUUGCUCGGAAUCACUGGGCGUAAAGCGCACGUAGGCGGAUCUCUAAGUCAGGGGUGAAAUCCCGGAGCUCAACUCCGGAACUGCCUUUGAUACUGGGGAUCUCGAGUCCGGGAGAGGUGAGUGGAACUGCGAGUGUAGAGGUGAAAUUCGUAGAUAUUCGCAAGAACACCAGUGGCGAAGGCGGCUCACUGGCCCGGUACUGACGCUGAGGUGCGAAAGCGUGGGGAGCAAACAGG